GAUGGGAUGGGCGCAGUCUGACCAGCCAUGCCGCGUGCAGGAUGACGGCCCUAUGGGUUGUAAACUGCUUUUGUACGAGAAAAAACCUUUCCACGUGUGGAAAGCUGAAGGUACCGUACGAAUAAGGAUCGGCUAACUCCGUGCCAGCAGCCGCGGUAAUACGGAGGAUCCAAGCGUUAUCCGGAUUUAUUGGGUUUAAAGGGUCCGUAGGCGGGUUUUUAAGUCAGUGGUGAAAGCCUACAGCUUAACUGUAGAAUUGCCAUUGAUACUGGAGACCUUGAGUGUAGUAGAAGUAGGCGGAAUAAGGCAUGUAGCGGUGAAAUGCAUAGAUAUGCCUUAGAACACCGAUUGCGAAGGCAGCUUACUAUGUUACAACUGACGCUGAGGGACGAAAGCGUGGGGAGCGAACAGGAUUAGAUACCCUGGUAGUCCACGCCGUAAACGAUGAUUACUCGCUGUUAGCGAUAUACAGUUAGCGGCCAAGCGAAAGCAUUAAGUAAUCCACCUGGGGAGUACGCCGGCAACGGUGAAACUCAAAGGAAUUGACGG
Molecule: ribosomal RNA, 549 nt
Filed under: uncultured bacterium
Lineage: Bacteria
Description: bacterial SSU rRNA
Rfam family: Bacterial small subunit ribosomal RNA
Source: RNAcentral